UUUAAGAUUGAUUCUGUCUUAUAUUAAUUAGUUGUAAUUUAUUAUUAUAUACGAGAUUUUUCUGGGUGUAUUUUUUAUCUUAAAGGUAAUUUUAAUUAUUAUUUGUAGUUUUUAAUUUUAAAUAUUACAGUAAUGUAGAUUUAGAUAAUUUUAAUUAGGUCUGUUUUAAAUUGUGCCAGCAUACGCGGUUAUACAAUUAGUCCAAGUUAAUUUUUUUGGUUAUUCAUUAAAUUUUUAUUUUUAGUUUAUUUAAUUAUUUUUAGAGUGGAAUCUUGAAAUAAUUCUAUUAUUUUGGUUUAUUAUUAUGGGAAGUUUAGAUUUUAAACUAGGAUUAGAUACCCUAUUAUUCUAAAUGUAUUAUUUAUAGCCAUAUUAUUAUUAGUUAUGAUCUUUAAAUUAAAAGAAUUUGGCGGUAACUUAGUCUUUUCAGAGGAACCUGUUCUUUAAUCGAUAAUCCACGUGGUAUUUUACUUUAAUUUUAUUUGUAUAUCUCUGUCAUUGAAUGUUUUAUUAGAAUAUUUUCUUUAAUUAUAUAUUUAUUAUAUGUCAGGUCAAGGUGCAGUUAUAUUAAAGGUUGAAAUGGGUUACAUUUAAUGUUAUUUAUUGGGAUAAUUUUUAUGUAUUAUUAUUUAUCAAAAAGGAUUUGAAAGUAAUUUUUAUUAUUUUAUAAUAAUGAUUUUGGCUCUAAGUUAUGUACACAUCGCCCGUCACUCUCAUUAUUAAGGUGAGAUAAGUCGUAACAAAGUAAUUUUACCGGAAGGUGAAGUUGGUAUAAA
Molecule: non-coding RNA, 776 nt
Filed under: Homoeocerus unipunctatus
Lineage: Eukaryota; Metazoa; Arthropoda; Insecta; Hemiptera; Coreidae
Source: RNAcentral